UACGAAGGGGGCUAGCGUUGCUCGGAAUCACUGGGCGUAAAGCGCACGUAGGCGGACUGUUAAGUCAGGGGUGAAAUCCUGGAGCUCAACUCCAGAACUGCCUUUGAUACUGACGGUCUUGAGUUCGGGAGAGGUGAGUGGAACUGCGAGUGUAGAGGUGAAAUUCGUAGAUAUCGGGAGGAACACCGGUGGCGAAGGCGGCGACCUGGGUCGAGACUGACGCUGAGGCGCGAAAGCGUGGGGAGCAAACAGG
RNAcentral lists this ribosomal RNA (253 nucleotides) under uncultured bacterium. RNAcentral describes it as "partial 16S ribosomal RNA". It matches the Rfam family "Bacterial small subunit ribosomal RNA", at positions 524 to 776 of the family's 1533-position model. The record is from RNAcentral.